UUAGAGUUUGAUCCUGGCUCAGGACGAACGCUGGCGGCGUGCCUAACACAUGCAAGUCGAGCGAAUGAAGUUCCUUCGGGAACGGAUUUAGCGGCGGACGGGUGAGUAACACGUGGGCAACCUGCCUCAUAGAGGGGAAUAGCCUUCCGAAAGGGAGAUUAAUACCGCAUAAGAUUGUAGUACCGCAUGGUACAGCAAUUAAAGGAGCAAUCCGCUAUGAGAUGGGCCCGCGGCGCAUUAGCUAGUUGGUGAGGUAACGGCUCACCAAGGCGACGAUGCGUAGCCGACCUGAGAGGGUGAUCGGCCACAUUGGGACUGAGACACGGCCCACACUCCUACGGGAGGCAGCAGUGGGGAAUAUUGCACAAUGGGGGAAACCCUGAUGCAGCAACGCCGCGUGAGUGAUGACGGCCUUCGGGUUGUAAAGCUCUGUCUUCAGGGACGAUAAUGACGGUACCUGAGGAGGAAGCCACGGCUAACUACGUGCCAGCAGCCGCGGUAAUACGUAGGUGGCGAGCGUUGUCCGGAUUUACUGGGCGUAAAGGGAGCGUAGGGCGGAUUUUUAAGUGAGAUGUGAAAUACUCGGGCUUAACCUGAGUGCUGCAUUUCAAACUGGAAGUCUAGAGUGCGGGAGAGGAAGAAGGGAAUUUCCUAGUGUAGCGGUGAAAAUGCGUAAAGAAUUAAGGAAAAAACCCCAGUGGCGAAGGGCCUUUUCCUCUUGGACUUGUAACUGGACGCUGAGGCUCCGAAAGCGUGGGGAAACAAAAAAGGAAUAAAAUCCCC
RNAcentral lists this ribosomal RNA (783 nucleotides) under uncultured bacterium. RNAcentral's name for it is "bacterial SSU rRNA". It matches the Rfam family "Bacterial small subunit ribosomal RNA", at positions 1 to 788 of the family's 1533-position model. The record is from RNAcentral.